UACGGAGGGUGCAAGCGUUAUCCGGAGUUCACUGGGCGUAAAGGGUGCGUAGGUGGUUAGGUAAGUCCGAUGUGAAAUCUCCAGGCUCAACCUGGAAAUGGCAUUGGAUACUAUCUAGCUUGAGGAGUGGAGGGGGGGACUGGAAUUCUCGGUGUAGCAGUGAAAUGCGUAGAUAUCGAGAGGAACACCAGUGGCGAAGGCGAGUCCCUGGACACUUCCUGACACUGGAGGCACGAAAGCUAGGGGAGCAAACAGG
This 256-nucleotide ribosomal RNA is filed under the name uncultured bacterium. RNAcentral describes it as "partial 16S ribosomal RNA". It matches the Rfam family "Bacterial small subunit ribosomal RNA", at positions 524 to 776 of the family's 1533-position model. The record is from RNAcentral.